GGAAGUAAAAGUCGUAACAAGGUUUCUGUAUGUGAACCUGCGGAAGGAUAUUAUCGAAUCCUACAAAAGAAAAUGACUAGUGAACAUGUGUUUUCAAUUAGGGAGGUGGGUAGUUUGGUUCAAACCUUUUUGCCUAUCUCUCCUUCGGUCGAUUGGUGCCUUGUAUGGUUCCUGAUUGCAUCGAAUAACAAAUUAAAAAUCCGGCAUGGGAAGCGACUCUCGGCAACAUAUAUCUAGGGUUGUCAAGGUUAAGGCUCUAUUAAAAUCUAAACGACUCUCGACAACAGAUAUCUAGGCUCUUGCAUCGAUGAAGAACAUAGCAAACUACGAUACUUAGUGUGAAUUGUAGAAUCUUGUGAACCAUCGAGUGUUUGAACACAAGUUGUGCCUGAAGCCACUAGGCUGAGGGCACGUCUGCCUGGGCAUCACAAGAUGUGUUGUCCCCUCGCAACUCGCCUCGUACGGGACGAGUGUUGCUAAUGGGGGGUGGAGAAUGGCCUCCCACGUAUAGGUGCGGCCGGCCUAAAUGGGAGUCCCUUAUCGUGGGGGUCACAUCAAGUGGUGGUUGAAAAGCUCAAACAAGUUGUGAACACCAUGCGAUGGAGGUAACGUUUUAGACGCUAAAGCGAUUCCCCUAUAGAGAAAGGCUCGUGACGACUGCGACCCCAGGUUUAGCGGGCUACCCACUGAGUUUACGCAUAUCAAUAAGCGGAGGA
RNAcentral lists this ribosomal RNA (716 nucleotides) under Streptocaulon kleinii. RNAcentral describes it as "eukaryotic LSU rRNA". The stretch from base 273 to 428 matches the Rfam family "5.8S ribosomal RNA". Lineage: Eukaryota; Viridiplantae; Streptophyta; Magnoliopsida; Gentianales; Apocynaceae. The record is from RNAcentral.